CCCUUGGCUCAACGAAGACGUCCCAUUGCAAAUACCGUCUCUCUCUCUCUCUCUCUCUCUCUCUCUCUCUACGCCGACCCACCAAUCUCACUGCUCUCUCACCACACCCACCCACCAAGCUCGAUCGAGUUGUGUUACGGCUCGAAUGGCGGCGAUUGGGUUCCUUCCCGGACUGUCCACAACCGAGUCGAAUCAACUCGCAAUUGAAGGGCUACUUUCGUCUUGGUUCGAAAAUCACAGCUGAUACAAAUGGCAUACAUACAAUCAGUGCAAGGAAGAUUAUUAUAGACUAAACAAAAGGGAGAUGGGUUGUCUGAUGCUUCAUCAGUGUGAAGCUUCAUCCAGAGUGAUACUUCUUUUUCAUAAUCCAUGCCUUCCUUUUAUGGUGUCAUUCAGCCUAUGUGCGGUGAAUGUCAAUAAUUAUCAAUAUUUAGGUUCUUGAGAUGUUUUGUAUGUUUUUAUAGGUUAUACAGCCUUUGCUAUAUAUAUUUAGAAGCAGGGGAAAAAGAUUCUACGUGUUGCUAUGUUUAGGUUCUUGAGUUGUUAUAUACAGAUGUGCCUACGCCUCUUAUAUGAGAGGGAACUUUUUGUUUGAGCAAGAUCAAAAUAGGGACGUGGCAUUAAAGAGUUUCAAGAAUGCCAGCCAUGCAAGAGAAUCUAGCUAAGAUGAAGCAGUUUGUGUUGAGCACGAUCAGCCAAUUACCUCAACAAGCAACUGAAGUGGUGGAAAUGACUGAAUUGGAUAGCAGCUCCUGUGCUCCUUUGACACUAAGAUUGCCCUGGAAUCAAUCCGUUUUGUGAAUGGCAUUUUUAGGUAGACCAAUAUGAAUUCAAGUAGAAUUUCAAUACUGUUGCACUCCUCAUAUUUCAGACCUUUGAAGUUGAACCAUUUUCAGAAUUUCAAUACACACUACUUGACCAAGAAAAAAAAUUGCACUCUCCUUGCUAAUUCAUUUUAGGUGUUCAAAAAUGUAUUGCGUCGUGCCUUCAGGCACGGGUUA
Molecule: long non-coding RNA, 1001 nt
Organism: Rhododendron vialii
Lineage: Eukaryota; Viridiplantae; Streptophyta; Magnoliopsida; Ericales; Ericaceae
Exons: 5
Source: RefSeq, a predicted model, not a curated record